RNAcentral lists this ribosomal RNA (274 nucleotides) under uncultured bacterium. RNAcentral's name for it is "partial 16S ribosomal RNA". It matches the Rfam family "Bacterial small subunit ribosomal RNA", at positions 524 to 796 of the family's 1533-position model. The record is from RNAcentral.
GACGUAGGGGGCGAGCGUUAUCCGGAUUCACUGGGCGUAAAGGGCGCGUAGGCGGCUACGUAAGUCCGGCGUGAAAUCCCACGGCUUAACUGUGGAAUUGCGUCGGAUACUGCGUUGGCUAGAGGACGGUAGAGGCUAGUGGAACUAGCGGUGUAGCGGUGAAAUGCGCAGAUAUCGCUAGGAACGCCGGUGGCGAAGGCGACUGGCUGGGCCGAUCCUGACGCUGAGGCGCGAAAGCUAGGGGAGCGAACCGGAUUAGAAACCCCCGUAGUCC